UACAGAGGGGGCAAGCGUUGUUCGGAAUUACUGGGCGUAAAGCGCACGUAGGCGGUUCGUUAAGUCGGAUGUGAAAGCCCUCGGCUCAACUGAGGAAGUGCACCCGAAACUGGCGAGCUUGAGUACGAAAGAGGGUCGUGGAAUUCCCAGUGUAGAGGUGAAAUUCGUAGAUAUUGGGAAGAACACCGGUGGCGAAGGCGGCGACCUGGUCCUUGACUGACGCUGAGGCGCGAAAGCGUGGGGAGCAAACAGG
This 253-nucleotide ribosomal RNA is filed under the name uncultured bacterium. RNAcentral's name for it is "partial 16S ribosomal RNA". It matches the Rfam family "Bacterial small subunit ribosomal RNA", at positions 524 to 776 of the family's 1533-position model. The record is from RNAcentral.